Molecule: long non-coding RNA, 650 nt
Filed under: Sorghum bicolor (sorghum)
Lineage: Eukaryota; Viridiplantae; Streptophyta; Magnoliopsida; Poales; Poaceae
Description: long non-coding RNA (SBIC_LNC017360)
Source: RNAcentral
AAGGGUAGGAGAAGCAGGGCCGUGGCCAAAAACAAAAGCAUUGAGGGUGUCUGACCAAAAGUAGGACGCAGCUAUCAGCAGUGACUCGUUCCUGUGCAUAUCGGCAAUGGAUAGCCUAAUGCAUUGGGCUAGCUUCCUUUCGCCCCACUGGACUUCAUAAGAAUUGCUGACCCUCAAGAACCAGUCUUUCCACCCUACGGUAGGGCUGGGCCAAGAGCGAAAAGUGUCUUUCCACAGAUCUAAAGAAAAGUUUUCAGCUCUAAAGGGGAUCCUAUUGGUUUCUGCGUUGAUAAGGUUGGUUGGAUCUGAAUCCCCUAGAGGGCCGAGACAUUGAAGGUGUGGUUGAUCGGUGGGGAUGACUAUUUUAUUGGACAACUCCUAGUGAUUUUGGGGAAAUAAAAAUACAAAGAAAAAGGAAAAGGAGAAUAUUCAGUAAGAUGAAUCGCGGAUGAACAGGAAUAAAAAAAAAUACAGAAGAUGAGAUGGAGAUCUGACCUCAGCGACGACGAAGCCAAUGGCCAUCUUGUCGUGAAAAGGACGUUGGAGGGCACCGGAGUUGAUGAAGAGGAGUGCUUGUCGGAGGUCUCGAAGGUUGUGAAUGGCGCCGCCGCUGGAAAAGUAAAAGUAGGGAUGGUGAAAUGAUGUGAUGG